Molecule: ribosomal RNA, 452 nt
Filed under: Bacillus australimaris
Lineage: Bacteria; Bacillati; Bacillota; Bacilli; Caryophanales; Bacillaceae
Description: bacterial SSU rRNA
Rfam family: Bacterial small subunit ribosomal RNA
Source: RNAcentral
UCAGGACGAACGCUGGCGGCGUGCCUAAUACAUGCAAGUCGAGCGGACAGAAGGGAGCUUGCUCCCGGAUGUUAGCGGCGGACGGGUGAGUAACACGUGGGUAACCUGCCUGUAAGACUGGGAUAACUCCGGGAAACCGGAGCUAAUACCGGAUAGUUCCUUGAACCGCAUGGUUCAAGGAUGAAAGACGGUUUCGGCUGUCACUUACAGAUGGACCCGCGGCGCAUUAGCUAGUUGGUGGGGUAAUGGCUCACCAAGGCGACGAUGCGUAGCCGACCUGAGAGGGUGAUCGGCCACACUGGGACUGAGACACGGCCCAGACUCCUACGGGAGGCAGCAGUAGGGAAUCUUCCGCAAUGGACGAAAGUCUGACGGAGCAACGCCGCGUGAGUGAUGAAGGUUUUCGGAUCGUAAAGCUCUGUUGUUAGGGAAGAACAAGUGCGAGAGUAACU